AAAAGCGUAACAAGGUCUCCGUUGGUGAACCAGCGGAGGGAUCAUUACUGAGUUUACGCUCUACAACCCUUUGUGAACAUACCUAUAACUGUUGCUUCGGCGGGUAGGGUCUCCGUGACCCUCCCGGCCUCCCGCCCCCGGGCGGGUCGGCGCCCGCCGGAGGAUAACCAAACUCUGAUUUAACGACGUUUCUUCUGAGUGGUACAAGCAAAUAAUCAAAACUUUUAACAACGGAUCUCUUGGUUCUGGCAUCGAUGAAGAACGCAGCGAAAUGCGAUAAGUAAUGUGAAUUGCAGAAUUCAGUGAAUCAUCGAAUCUUUGAACGCACAUUGCGCCCGCCAGCAUUCUGGCGGGCAUGCCUGUUCGAGCGUCAUUUCAACCCUCAAGCUCUGCUUGGUGUUGGGGCCCUACAGCUGAUGUAGGCCCUCAAAGGUAGUGGCGGACCCUCCCGGAGCCUCCUUUGCGUAGUAACUUUACGUCUCGCACUGGGAUCCGGAGGGACUCUUGCCGUAAAACCCCCAAUUUUCCAAAGGUUGACCUCGGAUCAGGUAGGAAUACCCGCUGAACUUAAGCAUAUCAUAA
Molecule: ribosomal RNA, 582 nt
Filed under: Colletotrichum gloeosporioides
Lineage: Eukaryota; Fungi; Ascomycota; Sordariomycetes; Glomerellales; Glomerellaceae
Description: eukaryotic LSU rRNA
Rfam family: 5.8S ribosomal RNA (bases 220-373)
Source: RNAcentral